Grammomys surdaster is the source of this 142-nucleotide small nucleolar RNA. RefSeq annotates it as small nucleolar RNA SNORA48. NCBI's taxonomy places the organism in Eukaryota, Metazoa, Chordata, Mammalia, Rodentia, Muridae. The transcript has a single exon. The record is from RefSeq and is a predicted model, not a curated record.
CGCCCCUGCAAUAGACAAAGAGACACCUUGUUGCGGAUGGUGUCUUAUAUUUCUCAGGGCCAGAGCAGAGGAUAGUUCUUUGUUCAUCCUAGCUUUGUGCCUGGCUUGGUGGCCAAUGCUGUCUCAUGUCUAGAACUCAUAA